GAUGAAGAACGUAGCGAAACGCGAUAUGUAAUGUGAAUUGCAGAAUUCAGUGAAUCAUCGAAUCUUUGAACGCACAUGGCGCCUUCCAGUAUCCUGGGAGGCAUGCCUGUCCGAGCGUCAUUGCUGCCCUCAAGCACGGCUUGUGUGUUGGGCCUCCGUCCUCCUCCCGGGGGACGGGCCCGAAAGGCAGCGGCGGCACCGCGUCCGGUCCUCGAGCGUAUGGGGCUUCGUCACCCGCUCUUGUAGGCCCGGCCGGCGCUUGCCGACACAUCAAUCUUUUUUCCAGGUUGACCUCGGAUCAGGUAGGGAUACCCGCUGAACUUAAGCAUAUCAAUAAGCGGAGGA
Molecule: unclassified non-coding RNA, 345 nt
Filed under: soil metagenome
Description: partial contains 5.8S ribosomal RNA, internal transcribed spacer 2, and large subunit ribosomal RNA
Rfam family: 5.8S ribosomal RNA (bases 1-120)
Source: RNAcentral